This is a long non-coding RNA of Oncorhynchus keta (chum salmon), 424 nucleotides long. RefSeq lists it as uncharacterized. Lineage: Eukaryota; Metazoa; Chordata; Actinopteri; Salmoniformes; Salmonidae. The record is from RefSeq and is a predicted model, not a curated record. The transcript is spliced from 4 exons.
AAUAGGCUGUUUAGCCCUCUCCUCUCUCUCUCAGGUAAGGGUCAGUAGUUGGUACAUUACAAUAGGCUGUUUAGCCCUCUCCUCUCUCUCUCAGGUAAGGGUCAGUAGUUGGUACAUUACAAUAGGCUGUUUAGCCCUCUCCUCUCUCUCUCAGGUAAGGGUCAGUAGUUGGUACAUUACAAUAGGCUGUUUAGCCCUCUCCUCUCUCUCUCAGGUAAGGGUCAGUAGUUGGUACAUUACAAUAGGCUGUUUAGCCCCCUCCUCUCUCUCUCAGGUAAGGGUCAGUAGUUGGUACAUUACAAUAGGCUGUUUAGCCCCCUCCUCUCUCUCUCAGGUAAGGGUCAGUAGUUGGUACUUUACAAUAGGCUGUUUAGCCCCCUCCUCUCUCUCUCUCAGGUAAGGGUCAGUAGUUGGUACAUUACAA